GAUGAACGCUGGCGGCAUGCCUAACACAUGCAAGUCGGACGGGAAGUGGUGUUUCCAGUGGCGGACGGGUGAGUAACGCGUCAGAACCUGCCCUUGGGAGGGGAACAACAACUGGAAACGGUUGCUAAUACCCCGUAGGCUGAGGAGCACAAGGAGGGAUCCGCCCGAGGGGGGGCUUGCGUAUUAUUAUCUAGUUGGUGAGGUAAUAGCUUACCAAGGCGAUGGUCAGUAGCUGGUCCGAGAGGAUGAUGAGCCACACUGGGACUGAGACACGGCCCAGACAACAAGGGGAGGCAGGAGAGGGGAAGUUUCAGCAAUGGGAGAAAGCCUGAGGGAGCAAUGCCGCGUGGAGGUAGAAGGCCCACGGGUCGAGAACUUCUUGUCUCGGAGAAGAAACAAUGACGGUAUCUGAGGAAUAAGCAACGGCUAACUCUGUG
Molecule: ribosomal RNA, 437 nt
Filed under: uncultured bacterium
Lineage: Bacteria
Description: partial 16S ribosomal RNA
Rfam family: Bacterial small subunit ribosomal RNA
Source: RNAcentral